This 247-nucleotide ribosomal RNA is filed under the name uncultured bacterium. RNAcentral's name for it is "partial small subunit ribosomal RNA". It matches the Rfam family "Bacterial small subunit ribosomal RNA", at positions 26 to 285 of the family's 1533-position model. The record is from RNAcentral.
AGAAUCAACGCUGGCGGCGUGCCUAACACAUGCAAGUCGCACGAGAAAGGGUAGCAAUACCUGAGUAAAGUGGCGCACGGGUGAGUAACACGUGAAUGAUCUACCCCCGAGUGGGGGAAUAAACUGAGAGAAAUCUUAGCUAAUACCGCAUAACACUUACGAGUCAAAGCAGCAAUGCGCUUGGAGAGGAGUUCGCGGCCGAUUAGUUAGUUGGCGGGGUAAUGGCCCACCAAGACGAUGAUCGGUA